CAUCUGCUUGCUGGCUGCUGCUGCUGCUCCUCCUCCUCCUCGCUUGGAUGCGACCGUCGUGAGGCGCCCACUCUUGGGCAGUGGCCGGGACUUGCCUGACAUCGUUGUCACUUCGAGCUCCCUGGGAUGGAUGCUCCCGCGCUCUGGAGCCUCUGCACCUCAGCCAUCAUCCGGCUCUCCUCCACUAGCGGUCUUGUUCAACGUGGUCUCCCUCACCGACUUGGACGACGAUGGCUCGUCGUCAGGCGGUGGCGCCCCCUUCCGUCGAGGCGGGAAUCAAGAACCGUCUGCUGGAAGGCAACACCGCCAGCGACAGCGACGAUGAGAACCCCGAC
RNAcentral lists this unclassified non-coding RNA (335 nucleotides) under Zea mays. RNAcentral's name for it is "misc RNA Zm00001eb182220". The record is from RNAcentral. Lineage: Eukaryota; Viridiplantae; Streptophyta; Magnoliopsida; Poales; Poaceae.